CUACGGGAGGCAGCAGUGGGGAAUUUUGGACAAUGGGGGCAACCCUGAUCCAGCCAUGCCGCGUGCGGGAAGAAGGCCUUCGGGUUGUAAACCGCUUUUGUCGGGGAAGAAAUCCUCCGGGCUAACACCUCGGGGGGAUGACGGUACCCGGAGAGUAAGCACCGGCUAACUACGUGCCAGCAGCCGCGGUAAUACGUAGGGUGCAAGCGUUAAUCGGAAUUACUGGGCGUAAAGCGUGCGCAGGCGGUUGUGCAAGACAGAUGUGAAAUCCCCGGGCUUAACCUGGGAACUGCAUUUGUGACUGCACGGCUGGAGUGCGGCAGAGGGGGAUGGAAUUCCGCGUGUAGCAGUGAAAUGCGUAGAUAUGCGGAGGAACACCGAUGGCGAAGGCAAUCCCCUGGGCCCGCACUGACGCUCAUGCACGAAAGCGUGGGGAGCAAACAGGAUUAGAAACCCUGGUAGUCC
Molecule: ribosomal RNA, 465 nt
Filed under: uncultured bacterium
Lineage: Bacteria
Description: bacterial SSU rRNA
Rfam family: Bacterial small subunit ribosomal RNA
Source: RNAcentral